RNAcentral lists this ribosomal RNA (472 nucleotides) under Neisseria flavescens. RNAcentral's name for it is "bacterial SSU rRNA". It matches the Rfam family "Bacterial small subunit ribosomal RNA", at positions 30 to 489 of the family's 1533-position model. The record is from RNAcentral. Lineage: Bacteria; Pseudomonadati; Pseudomonadota; Betaproteobacteria; Neisseriales; Neisseriaceae.
AUUGAACGCUGGCGGCAUGCUUUACACAUGCAAGUCGGACGGCAGCACAGAGAAGCUUGCUUCUUGGGUGGCGAGUGGCGAACGGGUGAGUAAUAUAUCGGAACGUACCGAGUAAUGGGGGAUAACUAAUCGAAAGAUUAGCUAAUACCGCAUAUUCUCUGAGGAGGAAAGCAGGGGACCUUCGGGCCUUGCGUUAUUCGAGCGGCCGAUAUCUGAUUAGCUAGUUGGUGGGGUAAAGGCCUACCAAGGCGACGAUCAGUAGCGGGUCUGAGAGGAUGAUCCGCCACACUGGGACUGAGACACGGCCCAGACUCCUACGGGAGGCAGCAGUGGGGAAUUUUGGACAAUGGGCGCAAGCCUGAUCCAGCCAUGCCGCGUGUCUGAAGAAGGCCUUCGGGUUGUAAAGGACUUUUGUCAGGGAAGAAAAGGCUGUUGCUAAUACCGACAGCUGAUGACGGUACCUGAAGAAUAA